AGAGGGUGCGAGCGUUAAUCGGAAUGACUGGGCGUAAAGGGCACGUAGGCGGCAGCUCAAGUUAGAUGUGAAAUACCAGGGGCUCAACCUUGGGGCGGCAUCUGAGACUGAGUUGCUAGAGUUUAUUAGAGGGGAGCGGAAUUUCCGGUGUAGCGGUGAAAUGCGUAGAUAUCGGAAGGAACACCAGUUGCGAAGGCGGCUCUCUGGGAUUGAACUGACGCUAAGGUGCGAAAGCGUGGGUAGCGAACAGGAUUAGAUACCCUGGUAGUCCACGCUGUAAACGAUGAGAACUAGCUGUUGGGACGCGACGACGUUUUAGUAGCGCAGCAAACGCGAUAAGUUCUCCGCCUGGGGAGUACGGCCGCAAGGCUA
This 372-nucleotide ribosomal RNA is filed under the name uncultured organism. Its description in RNAcentral is "partial 16S ribosomal RNA". It matches the Rfam family "Bacterial small subunit ribosomal RNA", at positions 527 to 896 of the family's 1533-position model. The record is from RNAcentral.